AGGACGAACGCUGGCGGCGUGCUUAACACAUGCAAGUCGAGCGGAAAGGCCCUUCGGGGUACUCGAGCGGCGAACGGGUGAGUAACACGUGAGCAACCUGCCCUUGGCUCUGGGAUAGCCUCCGGAAACGGGGAUUAAUACCGGACAUUCACUUUCUCCUGCAUGGGGGUUGGUGGAAAGUUUUUCGGCCAGGGAGGGGCUCGCGGCCUAUCAGCUUGUUGGCGGGUAACGGCCCACCAAGGCGACGACGGGUAGCCGGCCUGAGAGGGCGAUCGGCCACACUGGGACUGAGACACGGCCCAGACUCCUACGGGAGGCAGCAGUGGGGAAUAUUGCACAAUGGGCGCAAGCCUGAUGCAGCGACGCCGCGUGGGGGAUGAAGGCCUUCGGGUUGUAAACCCCGUUUCACCACGGAGCGAAUUCAGACGGUACCUGGGGAAGAAGCGUCGGCUAACUACGUGCCAGCAGCCGC
This 472-nucleotide ribosomal RNA is filed under the name uncultured bacterium. RNAcentral describes it as "SSU rRNA". It matches the Rfam family "Bacterial small subunit ribosomal RNA", at positions 26 to 518 of the family's 1533-position model. The record is from RNAcentral.